Molecule: ribosomal RNA, 301 nt
Filed under: uncultured bacterium
Lineage: Bacteria
Description: partial 16S ribosomal RNA
Rfam family: Bacterial small subunit ribosomal RNA
Source: RNAcentral
CAGCCGCGCGGUAAUACAGAGGGUGCGAGCGUUAAUCGGAUUUACUGGGCGUAAAGCGUGCGUAGGCGGCUUUUUAAGUCGGAUGUGAAAUCCCUGAGCUUAACUUAGGAAUUGCAUUCGAUACUGGGAAGCUAGAGUAUGGGAGAGGAUGGUAGAAUUCCAGGUGUAGCGGUGAAAUGCGUAGAGAUCUGGAGGAAUACCGAUGGCGAAGGCAGCCAUCUGGCCUAAUACUGACGCUGAGGUACGAAAGCAUGGGGAGCAAACAGGAUUAGAUACCCCCGUAGUCCCUGUCUCUUAUACC